This is a long non-coding RNA of Haliotis rubra (blacklip abalone), 363 nucleotides long. RefSeq lists it as uncharacterized. The record is from RefSeq and is a predicted model, not a curated record. The transcript is spliced from 3 exons. Lineage: Eukaryota; Metazoa; Mollusca; Gastropoda; Lepetellida; Haliotidae.
UCGGCUCGUACUUUGAAGACGAAACAGAAGGUCAUGAUGUACGGUAGAGAAACCAAAGGAAACAAGCAAUCGGCCCCUCCUCCACGUCCACAACCACAACGACCACCUCCACGGCAGCCACCAGCGCCACGUUUGAAAACUGCUGCACCUAGCGGAGGCGGUGGAGGCGGCGGCUCCUCGAAGACAUCAUCGUCUUAGCAUUGUAAAUGUCAAAGCUUCAACGCACCACCCAGAUGCAUCCGAUCUCAAUAUGCUGACCAAACCAAUAAGAGUUGAUGUGUUAUCAUUGACUCAGUGACCAGAUUUUAACCAGCAUGUCAGGAUGUGUUUUGCUUAAAGCAUCAUAAUAAAACUGAAUUUUAA